UACGAAGGGAGCUAGCGUUGUUCGGAAUCACUGGGCGUAAAGCGCACGUAGGCGGACUCUUAAGUCGGGGGUGAAAUCCUGGAGCUCAACUCCAGAACUGCCUUCGAUACUGGGAGUCUUGAGUUCGGGAGAGGUGAGUGGAACUGCGAGUGUAGAGGUGAAAUUCGUAGAUAUUCGCAAGAACACCAGUGGCGAAGGCGGCUCACUGGCCCGAUACUGACGCUGAGGUGCGAAAGCGUGGGGAGCAAACAGG
This 253-nucleotide ribosomal RNA is filed under the name uncultured bacterium. RNAcentral's name for it is "partial 16S ribosomal RNA". It matches the Rfam family "Bacterial small subunit ribosomal RNA", at positions 524 to 776 of the family's 1533-position model. The record is from RNAcentral.